This 64-nucleotide transfer RNA is filed under the name uncultured Clostridium sp. It matches the Rfam family "tRNA", at positions 5 to 66 of the family's 71-position model. Rfam says of the family: Transfer RNA (tRNA) molecules are approximately 80 nucleotides in length. Their secondary structure includes four short double-helical elements and three loops (D, anti-codon, and T loops). The record is from RNAcentral. Lineage: Bacteria; Bacillati; Bacillota; Clostridia; Eubacteriales; Clostridiaceae.
GGUAUAGCCAAGUGGUAAGGCAUCAGAUUCUGACUCUGAGUAUCGGAGGUUCAAAUCCUCUUAC